UUUUUUUUUUUUUUGGCAGUAGACAAUGAGCAGAAAUUUUCCUAAAAAUUCUUUCAUAAGUAUCAUCAUCUUAGUACUUCCUGUAUUUUUAAAUUCUCCUUUAUCAUUAGUAACUUUUUCCUGUUGACAUUUGAAUUGAAACUGGUUAUUUUGCAUGUAUGCUAAUUUAGAAUUGCAUAGCCAUUAUCAACUAUUGCGUUUCAAUAACUAGUUUGAUUUCUCUGAUAGUGAGUUUUUUGUUUCAAUUCUUAAUGAUGUGUAUUUUGGAAUGUUUUACUCAAGUAAUAUGGGUUAAUUAACCGGUGUAAUUAGGAAAUGAAGGUUAAUUGCAUGUAGUAAUAUCCAGGAAACUUAUGUGGGCCACAAUCUGCUUGUAAUUUCUUCGUCCACUAUAUAGAUGAAGUAAAGUGUUUCAUUUGCGAAGAUUGCUAGUUCUUUGCAGAUAAGAAAUACACACCAACAAAUCUUUUUAAUGAAAAUCUGCACUUUGGAACUUUAUUCCAGGUAUUGCUAGAUAAUUUUGUCAUUGUUUUGAUACAGCCCAACUUAUUUUGCAG
Molecule: unclassified non-coding RNA, 557 nt
Filed under: Hevea brasiliensis (rubber tree)
Lineage: Eukaryota; Viridiplantae; Streptophyta; Magnoliopsida; Malpighiales; Euphorbiaceae
Source: RNAcentral